UGUAGAUAAAAGAAUUUCGUGAAAAUGAAUGCUAACAAUUUGUUAUGUCUUUCCUAUUGAAUUGACUUUUAAGUCAGCAUGUAGUAGAUAAAAACGUAAAUCCAUUUCACUGAAGCCAGUGUCGUUUGAAUAGGCAGGUCCAUACUAUAUAUAUGUUGGUGAUACAUACAUGUUUGCUUGACACAAUCAAAUGUUGUGUGUACAUUUACAAGAAAUGGAUGCGCUACAUUUUUUUUUUUGACUCUGUUUAGAUGCUUUCUGGUUCACAUUGUAUUGGAUUUUCCUGCUCAUGCAUAUAGUGUUUGUUAUAUAGGCAAUCGAUCUGGACAGUGAUAGUGCUUGUAAGCUAGCACAUUUUCAUUUUGAUCAUAAAACUUACUGAUCAUUUUCGUUUAACUUUUUCACUAAGGUUUGCUUGCUAAAGUUUUGUAGCUAUCCGUAGCCGUGACUGUUGGGCCCUGCGUGCUGUGUACCGGAACCUCUUGUUUCUGGCUUGGUAGCGCUCUCGUAGCCAGCAUGGAUUGGAUGUGGCCCUGGAGCCUUCCACUGGUCUCCCUCGUCGAUGGCACAUUCCUAGACAUGUGGUGUUCUCCCUUGCCGACCCGAGACCCUGUCGAGCAUGUGAAGGUGGAACUAGCAUCGUCAUAGGUGUACCUGCAUGUUGCCGGGCAGGUGGCCUCCUGCUAGUAGAUGGCAGGCUCCCGCACAGCUAGUGUACUGUAGUCGCCUCUACGUCGCCUCUGCAGCAGUAGGGCACUUACUGGCCUCGUCUUCGAAGAAGGGAUGCAUGAAAGGAUACACAAUACCUGUUGUAGAUAUAUGACUACAUGCGGGGGUUAUUGCAGGACAAGGAGGAGAUGGAAGCUGGAACCGAUAGCCAUACUACUUGGAAUCUGGAUGACCCAGG
This is a long non-coding RNA of Lolium rigidum, 907 nucleotides long. RefSeq lists it as uncharacterized. The transcript is spliced from 4 exons. The record is from RefSeq and is a predicted model, not a curated record. NCBI's taxonomy places the organism in Eukaryota, Viridiplantae, Streptophyta, Magnoliopsida, Poales, Poaceae.